RNAcentral lists this ribosomal RNA (253 nucleotides) under uncultured bacterium. RNAcentral's name for it is "partial 16S ribosomal RNA". It matches the Rfam family "Bacterial small subunit ribosomal RNA", at positions 524 to 776 of the family's 1533-position model. The record is from RNAcentral.
UACGUAGGCAGCAAGCGUUGUUCGGAGUUACUGGGCGUAAAGGGUGUGUAGGCGGUUCUUUAAGUUUGGUGUGAAAUCUCCCGGCUCAACUGGGAGGGUGCGCCGAAUACUGAGGGACUAGAGUACGGGAGAGGAAAGUGGAAUUCCUGGUGUAGCGGUGAAAUGCGUAGAUAUCGGAAGGAACAUCAGUGGCGAAAGCGGCUUCCUGGACCAGUACCGACGUUCAGGCACGAAAGCGUGGGGAGCAAACAGG